RNAcentral lists this ribosomal RNA (484 nucleotides) under uncultured bacterium. RNAcentral's name for it is "partial 16S ribosomal RNA". It matches the Rfam family "Bacterial small subunit ribosomal RNA", at positions 30 to 507 of the family's 1533-position model. The record is from RNAcentral.
AUUGAACGCUGGCGGCAGGCCUAACACAUGCAAGUCGAGCGGAUGAAGGGAGCUUGCUCCUGGAUUCAGCGGCGGACGGGUGAGUAAUGCCUAGGAAUCUGCCUGGUAGUGGGGGAUAACGUCCGGAAACGGGCGCUAAUACCGCAUACGUCCUGAGGGAGAAAGGGGGGGAUCUUCGGACCUCACGCUAUCAGAUGAGCCUAGGUCGGAUUAGCUAGUUGGUGGGGUAAAGGCCUACCAAGGCGACGAUCCGUAACUGGUCUGAGAGGAUGAUCAGUCACACUGGAACUGAGACACGGUCCAGACUCCUACGGGAGGCAGCAGUGGGGAAUAUUGGACAAUGGGCGAAAGCCUGAUCCAGCCAUGCCGCGUGUGUGAAGAAGGUCUUCGGAUUGUAAAGCACUUUAAGUUGAGAGGAAGGGCAGUAAGUUAAUACCUUGCUGUUUUGACGUUACCAACAGAAUAAGCACCGGCUAACUUCGUG